Molecule: ribosomal RNA, 496 nt
Filed under: Tisamenus sp. 4 SB-2020
Lineage: Eukaryota; Metazoa; Arthropoda; Insecta; Phasmatodea; Heteropterygidae
Description: partial 28S ribosomal RNA
Source: RNAcentral
AUCCUGAAUUCGAAAGGGGCCGGAUUCAAGUCGAUCCGACUGGUCAGGGUGCAUUUCUCUGCCAGAUGGCGCCGGUCGCCCGCGGCGAUUCAUUUCGUUUGCGGUGUCGUUCCCGGCGAUCACUCGGCGGGGUUGCACUUCCCUGGCGUUGGACGAGUGCACUUCCACCCUAGUAGAAACGUCGCGACCCGUUGGGUGCCGGUCAAAGGCCUGGGAUGGCAGACCGAGUGUCAUGAGGGGGAUCCCUCAUGCGCGCGGACUCCCGGUGACCCGGCCGGCUGCCCGACGGUAUGACCAGAGGAGUCGAUCCGCUGAAUGGGAAACACUGUGGCUGUGUAGCGUCCGGCCCGGCUCCGGCGCGUGCGGGAUUGAGGUGCAAACCGGGGGUGCCCGUGCUGAGCACGGCCCCGGCCCCGCUGCGUCGUCGGAUUUGCCGGUGUCCUCGGACUGGAUCGAUACUCCCGUCUGCGACGCCCACCUUCGGAUGGUCUCCCGC